AUCAUCCCUCUGCAAGCCUCCCGUAGAAGCAGAACGACCGGAGGUGGUCGCCUUCUUCCUCUCCGGCAACCACGGCCGCAGUCACUUCCUCUGCGAUUUCGAUGCCACCAGUGCCUCCCCCUCACUUAUUUCUUAUCCACCAGCCUCCUUGAGCACUCACUGAUCCAUCCCCAUCAUCAUUUUUACUCGAGAUCGACCGUAGGCGAAAUCCCUCUUCCUCCUCCGCCGGAGCUCUUCGGGAGUGCUCGCAGCCGGCGACUCCGUCCACUCCGGAGACCAUGGCGACCACCGGAAGGAUCGUAUCAACCUUCUAAGCACGCCCAUGUGCUCAGAUCACCGAGGGGCGUCGAUCGCCGAAGCCCCGCCUCUGUCCGGCCGCGUGAGAGAGGGCGCGCGAAGACUAGUCAAACCGGACCAGUGGGCCAGGCGGGGCCACUGUCAGCGACUCAAGCCGCGCCAGAUCGGCUAUAAGUGGAAAUGUAUUCUCCAUAUUACGUCUUCACUUCCCAAAAAGCGUAAAUACAAUCGAACUGUUUUCUUUUAUAAACUUUAAUUAAAACAGAUUUUAACUACUUCUUUGACUGCCUCUGGUUUUUAAACCACAAAUCCAAAUGACUUGAUUAUUUUUUUGUAUUCCUCAAAUUUCAUCUAGUUUAUUUUACUAUUUAUUUCAAAAUUUUCCAACCAACUUUUUUGUACUGUUUUGGAAUUAUGUGGUAAUUGCAUUAUUUUGAAAAUAGGGAAAAUGGAGGGAAGACAAUUUUCAAAUUUUUUGGAGUGCACCCAACCCUUCUACAUGAUCAAGGCAAGCAUUUUGAACACUUGAUAUGAUGACUGCUUGGUUGAUUGCUUGCUAGAAUAUUUGAAACAUGUUAUGUUACCUCAUAUGAAAUUGCAUACAAAUGAUCAUGCAUUCCUUGUCAAUAUUUGACUUCACCUAAACAUGAAAUAUUUGUGCCACAUAUGCCUAUGCCUGUUCUGACUAACUUGCAGGAAAAAAUUGGUCACUAGUGAAAGUGAUCGUAAGACAGGAAUCUCGUUGUGACGAGAAUGAUCAGUGAGGACAUGUUGGGACAUGCCAAGUGGUGACCCUGUUAUCUUCCACCAAGGAUAUAUAUUGUGCUAACCACUGCAGGAAAUUUUUAAACCUCCUGAGUCGAUUGUAGAUCGAGUCUUGUUCCAGUAACCCCCGUACUUGAUUUGUGCUGCCACUUGUCCCUGGCACAGGUAGGGUAUGGUUCAGUAAGUUGUUGACCCCUUUCCUGCACACACUAUACAGAGGGCCGCGAUGAGGGUCCCAAGGCCUUGGAUUAAAGCCAGUCAUCGGGUCAGGAGGCAUGGGUGUCUUCGGUUGAGGCUGAAGAAGGGUAGCACCCCUAGUUGCGCGGUAUAAAUAUUGUGAUCCCAUGCUAUUCGAGGUGGUAGCCUUCCCGUCUUAGAGUUUUACUUGAGUGAUGUUUUGGAUGAUUCCUGGCAUCAGGAAAGUUAAGCUGGUGUGUGCUGGUUAGGUGUGUUUGCAACCCAAAGACCGUAAACAGAAUUAGUCAACGUCUCGUGGCUAACUAAAGAAAUCAUUUACUUGUGGGUAAAGAAUACAACAUCUACAGAGUAUAAAACUUAUUUGAAUAGCCGUGUCCGUCGCUUCAGACACCCAACUGGCAUGUACUUUCUUUUCUUUUGGAAUUCACCGGGCGGUGCUACCGCCUAGAAUCCCUUUACCUUUGAUUUCAUUUGGAGUAAAGCCCUUUGCGUGGAGUCGCGAAGACACCCAAUUGUGGCAUUCUUUUAUAGUUUUCUCUUGGGUUCCUUCGGAACGGUUAUACCUCUUGAGACCUGAAUUUAAAUUAUUUUUGCAAUAUUAUUAUUUACUUAUACGUUGCUAAUAUUAAGCUGACAAAACUUUAUUAAUUGUGCACAUAUGAUACUCCACAUGAUUGCAUUAAAUUCUCGUCAUUUUUUUCGACAAAGGAUGAAUUUUAUUACUCAAAAUGAAGCAUCAAGAUAAUACAAACAUAGUGAGGACACACCUGGCCUCUGCAUAUCUAGGAUGCACGCAGCGAACACUAACACACACACACACACAAAAACCGCCGGCAAAUAGCAAAGCCAUAUAAAACCAAAGCUAUGCCUAAGCGAGAGAGAAAAAAAAAACCAUCCCGAAGCGUUCUAAAUCGCGAUCGACAACCUACAACAAUGACCAUAUCCGCACCAAUCAUCUCAUGACACCACAAGGACAUCGACAUUCUUCAACAGCAACGCCUUCAGAAAGGGAGCGACGCUCAAGCACCGCCGUCACCAGAACCAACCAUCAAAGGGCAAAUUCUAGAUUUUCACUUUGAAGAAACUGUCCGAGCAUCUCCGAGCAAUGCCUUCAACAAGGUAACGACGGCGAAACAUCGUCAUUGCCAGGUGUAUAACCGACAUGGUUCUGACCUAGGUUUUCACCCCGGAGCUCGAGACCAGGGUACUCAAAAAGCACCACCAUCGAAGUCAAGCAUGUGUUGUCACCACCACUUUUCCACGAUCCUAGCAGCUACAUGUGCUGGGUUAGAAAACCGACAGCCUCCACUGCGCAACCAUACCCUCUACGUCAAGACAUCAUCCAUAGAUUGCAUAACACCACCGAAGCAACCACUGGAUCUUGGAGAGUAUCACUUGCAAAGACCUUUCAUUCGCUAUCGCAGUCCGCCGUGAGGCCGCUGCCACGUCGAAGUGUUAAUCCUCGACCAACACCGAUGACGGAGCACUUUACCACCGAUUGCCCCCUCGCCGGCCUUGAACACCACCGUGUAUAUCCGGCCAAGCCUGCAACUGCCGGUCGGACCUCACAGGUACCGGUCUUGCCGCGAUCCGUGCGACGAAUUCUUGCAUGAUAGAAGCGGAGAAUCCUGAUCCAGCUGAGGACGUCAGGGCCUCACGCCAUCACCCUCCCUGGCUAGAUGCAUGUCGGACCACACCGGUGACUUACUGCAGUAGGCGCCGGACAUGCAACAACCAAAGAUCUAAGACCAAUCGAUGGCAUCUCAGUUUGGCACUACCAGCUUUAACAAAGACGGAGGAUCGUGAAUUUGCUUCCAGGACUCAGCCAGCAAGGAAGCAAACUAGCCCCGCGCCACUGGCACAGAGCCGUGCCACCCUGCCAUUAGGAGCCACCACGCCACCGGACGCCCAGCCCUGCCGCCAACCGACGGGUCGCGUCGAUGCGCCGCCACGAACUGCUGCCCUGCAGCACGGGAGCCGCCGCGAGGAGACGCCCCGCUCCCGCCGUCGGCCGCGCGGGCUUCGCCCGGCGGCGUCCUCCGGCGGCGGCAUGGCGGGAGGAGUUGGUAGAUCGACUGGUGGCGCUAGGGUAGGACGUGCGCCCGAGUCGCCCUGCAUUAAAUUCUCGUCAUGGCAUGGUAGAAUACACUUAAAAUUAACAGCAUGCAUUCUGUCUGCUUUUAUUAUAUCUUCUGUCCAUGAUGUUUGCGAGUACAUUCAAACGUACUCAUUAGUUUGUUCCUGACUAUUGUCUUGCUAAAUCAUGACUUGAGGAGGAGCUCUACGAAGACACCUCACAACCUAGGAAUCGGGGAUAGUAGCCACGUGAGAUCCACAAUCUGUUUAGGAGACCAAUAAUCUGGGCGUGGUUGUGGCGGAGUCCUGAUUCGUGUGAUAAAUACACACGCAGACCUCAAGAUCGAGGAUCAGAGGAGAUCGAAACAAGAACAACAACAAGAAGAAGAAGCCAUGGCGGCGGCGCGAGGAGGCUCGGCGGCGGCGCGAGGAGGCUCGGCGGCGCCGCGCUCCAGCGGGCCCAGGCGACAGUCGUCCCCGAGGGGAGACGGCGGGCGCUGUGGACCUCCAGGGUAUGCUCUCUUCCUCCCGCUGCAAAACAAAAAAAUCACAUCUUUUAUCGCGUCGAUUGCCAAUUCGACUAUGACUAAUUAUGAGUUAUGCUCUGCGAGUACCUAAAUUUUCUUCUUCUUGGGUUUGUAUCCGUGCUCGUGGACUAGGCCACCAGCGUAGAGGAGAAGAAGGUUGUAGAGGAUGUUGGAAAUAUAAGCAAUUUACCGAAUGAUUUUAUUAACAGAAAUAGUAGAUAAAACAUGACUAAAAUAGCAAAUAUAAAGCAAGUCAUGCAAUCUGACAGAGAAAAGGUAAACAUCGUCUGCAUAUAUGAACUUGAGGUAAACACAUCUAGAACAGUCACUAGAUGAAGUUGGUUAUACGACAUAGAAUCUAACAUACGUAGGACAGAAACUAGAGCCAAGAACUGUAACAGGACUUCUAACAGAAAGGAGAAGAACACGUACGACACAGCAGCAGCAGAAGCGCUGGACUUGGGGUCGGUGUCCUCGCCUGCCAUGUCGUCGAGGAGGUCGUGGACGUCGGGGAAGAAGUCGUCGUCGGGGAAAUAGUCGUCGGCGACCGGAUCGUCCGUGAUGAAUCAGCCAGUAGUCGCGCAGAGCGCUCCCCAAAAACCUUAUCACCCUUCUCCCGUACAGGACUCAAAGAGUGCGGUUUCGGAGGCCUACUGUCCCGACCUGCGGUGCACGCCGCAAGCCGGGAUGGAGAAGAUCGUAGCAGCAGCGCAGUGCUCAGGAACCGGUGGCGAGAGGAAGAAGUAGUUCUGGUGCAUCUUGCUGAGAGGAGCGACCUCCCUUUUUAUAGGCGCAAGAGAAGGAGGCGAGAGGGCAACGCCGGGAGCUGAAGGGACCGAGGGAGAUGAAACGAACAGACAACAGCCGAAGGGUGCAACGUUCGCAUUUAAUCUCCACUACAGCAAAAACUUUCCGUCUCCCGAGUGACCUUUCGUUUACCCGUAGUGCGUGGCAAAAAUUUAGACAUCGGCUCGGCUCAUUCCCGCAACCCGCGUCGCGUCGUGACGAGGCGAGGCGUGGCGUGGCGAGGCGGGCGGCGGAGGAGGAGCGCGCGUGGAUGUCCCUCUUGUUCUCAUGCUCAUACAAGUGGGGAAAGAACCCCCCCCCCCUUAUAAGGAGGUCCAACUCCCACUAAACUAGCAAUGUGGGACUAAACUUUUAGUAGUAUCACUUGCCUUGCACAAAUGGGCUAAGUGGGCCUCUAGGAUUUAUUAGGAAUCUCUGAAAUAGUUAUUGGGCUGCCCAAAAUAGACUAAAUUCCAGCAAUCCCCCACCAGAUCCCAGAGGCACACAGAAAUUUGCCUUUGGUUCCAAAAUACUGUUUUAUAUACCGGUACUGCAGUGGAGACUGUUAAGUUAAACUUCCAUCUAGAACUCUAUGCUACACUAGUAAGCAACUUGAACAGUGGACUCGGCCUUGAACUGCAAGUUUUCUGCGAAUCUAGCUUCACAUAAAGCCUUGACCGAUACGUGGCUACCGUGGGCCUUCCCCGUGGGUGAAGCUUAUGUGUCAUACUCCGUGACCUUUCAUGAGUUUACUAGAGAGAACCCUACUCUCAUAGAUUGCGACGUUUGACAAUCAGACUCAUAUAGGUGUAUUCUUCAAAAGAUGUUCUGCAGGAUAACAUCUCUGCUUAAAUAAGCCACUUAGAACACAUUAAGAUAUACAUCAACCUGCCAUGUAGAUUAGGAGAGUAUUGCAUCUUCAUGGAGUGGUAUUGUGAAUAGUAGGGAUACUCUCCUCUCAGUUGACCAACAACUUGUCUUCCACAUCUAAUUCACGGGAUCUCCGAUCACAAAGAAUAGGUUACCACUGUGAACAACUCAUAUUGUGGGUCUCAUAUCCAUCUCCCUUGAUGCAUUAUCUAUCACAUUACGUGAUAGACCUUAGUAAAAGGAUCUACCAGAUUUUUAGACGUUUGGACAUAAUCCAAUGCAAUAACUCCGGAGUUUUUCAUUUUCCUGACAGACUUUAACCUUCUCUGAACGUGUCUUGAUGACUUCAUGUUAUCCUUUGAGCUGCUCACUUUCGUGAUCACAGUUUGAUUGUCGCAGUUCAUAAGGACACCCGGUACAGGUUUCUCAACAACCGGCAAGUCAUUCAAGAGUCGGCGAAGCCAAUCUGCUUCGACCGUAGCUGUAUCUAGUGCUGUGAGUUCUGCUUCCAUAGUUGACCUCGUUAAGAUGGUCUGCUUGCAAGACUUCCAAGAAACAGCGCCACCUCCAUGAGUGAAUACAUAACCGCUUGUAGCCUUUAUCUCAUCAGCAUCUGAGAUCUAGUUUGAGUCACUAUACCCUUCAAGCACCUUUGGAUGCCCAGUGUAGUGAAUUCCAUAAUUCGCAGUGCCUUUCAAAUAACGCAAAACUCUCUCUAGAGCUUUCCAAUGCACAUCUCCUGGUUUUGAAACAAACCGACUCAGUUUGCUAACAGCAAAAGAGAUGUCAGGUCUUGUAGCACUUGCUAAGUACAUAAGCGAGCCAAUAAUCUGAGAAUACUUCAAUUGAUCUCUAGCAAUUCUUCGAUUCUUUCGAAGCAGCACGCUAGCGUCAUAUGGUGUUGGAGAGGGCUUGCAGUCACUAUAGCCAAAGCGACUCAAGAUCUUUUCCACAUAGUGAGAUUGAAGCAAUGUAAUCCCGCCAUCAUCAUCUCUCAACAACUUGAUGUUCAGAAUGACAUCAGCCACUCCUAAAUCCUUCAUCUCAAAACAGUGAGAUAGGAAAUCCUUGACCUCCUUAAUAACAUUCAGAUUUGUUCCGAAAAUUAGUAUGUCAUCAACAUACAAGCAAAGCAUAAUUCCCUCACCCCCAUCAUGGCGAUGGUACACACAUUUGUCAGCUUUGUUCACAACAAAGCCUGUAGCUGUUAAAGUUCUUUCAAACUUCUCAUGCCACUGUUUGGGUGCUUGCUUGAGUCCAUACAAGGACUUCAGCAACUUGCACACUUUCCCUUCCCGACCAUCUACUACAAACCCAUCUGGUUGUUCCAUAUAAAUUUCCUCAUCCAACUCUCCAUUUAGGAAAGCAGUCUUAACAUCCAUUUGAUGAACGAGAAGACCAUGUGAGGCAGCUAGUGAAAGUAGAACUCGAAUAGUGGUCAGUCGAGCCACAGGUGAGUAAGUAUCAAAGAAAUCUUCACCUUCCUUUUGGGUAUAACCCUUAGCCAUGAGCCGAGCCUUGUACUUUUCAAUAGUACCAUCAGGCCUAAGCUUCUUCUUGAAUACCCAUUUGCAUGCUAUAGGUUUGCACCCAUAAGGACGAUCGGUUAUCUCCCAAGUUUCAUUCGCCAAGAUGGAAUCCAUCUCGCUACGAACUGCUUCCUUCCAGUAGUCAGCAUCUUCAGAUGCAUAGGCCUCUGAAAUAGAACUGGGAGUGUCAUCUAUGAGAUACACAAGAAAAUCAUCACCAAAGGACUUUGCAGUCCUCUGUCUCUUGCUCCUAAUAGGAACUUCAUUGUUCUCCUCCACAGGACUUUCAAAGUGUUCCAUCGAAAUGGCAGGUUCGGUAAUUGUAACUGGUUCCUGAUUUGAUGAACUAGGCAUCUCCUGAUUAGAUGAGGUAGCCAUAUCCUUCAUGGGAAAGAUAUCUUUAAAGAAAGUCGCAUCAUUCGACUCCAUGAUCGUACCGACAUGCAUAUCAGGUACCUCAGAUUUUACAACCAAGAAUCUAUAGCCAAUGCUAUGAAAAGCAUAUCCCAAGAAAACACAAUCCAUAGUCUUUGGUCCAAGUUUCCGCUUCUUUGGAAUUGGAACAUUGACUUUCGCCAAACAACCCCAUGUUCGCAGAUAAGAGAGUUUUAACCUUUUCUUCUCCCACUCCUCGAAUGGAGUUAUCUCUUUGUUUUUUGUGGGAACUCGAUUUAGGACAUGACACGCUGUCAAUAUCGCCUCCCCCCACCAUGCCUUGGAGAGACCUGAUGUGUCUAACAUGGCGUUAACCAAAUCAGUUAGAGUACGAUUCUUUCUUUCGGCCACCCCAUUUGACUGAUGUGAGUAGGGAGGCGUCCUCUCAUGGAUUAUACCAUGUUCCGCACAAAAAGCAUCAAAUUCAUUGGAAAAAUACUCUCCACCACGGUCGGACCUAAGCCUCUUGAUUUUUCGAUCAAGUUGGUUUUCCACUUCAGCUUUAUAGAUCUUGAAAAAGUUGAAAGCCUCAUCCUUAGAUUUCAGAAGAUACACACAACAGUAUCUAGUGGAGUCGUCAAUUAACGUCAUGAAAUAUUUCUUUCCACCUUUUGUUAAAACACCAUUCAUUUCACAUAGAUCUGAACGUAUAAGUUCUAGUGGUGCAAGAUUUCUCGUUUCCGCAGUCACGUGAGAUUUACGAGGUUGCUUAGCUUGCACAAACACUUGACACUUAGAUCCCUUAAUGGUGGUGAAACUAGGGAUUAAGUUCAACUUUGCUAGUCGCGACAUGCAACCAAAGUUAACAUGACAGAGUCGUGAAUGCCACACAUUUGAUUCACUAUUGUUGCAAAUAUGAUUAACAACUUUAUUGCAAACGUCUGAUAAGGAUAAACAAAACAGGCCUCCUGACUCAUAGCCUUUACCAACAAAGGUUCCAUACUUGGAUAUUACAAAUUUAUUCGACUCAAAGACAAGCUUAUAGCCAUCUCUACACAGAAGAGAUCCGCUAACAAGAUUUUUAUUGACGGAGGGGACAUAAUGCACGUUCUUCAGCCGCACGAUCUUCCCCGAAGUAAACUUCAGAUCGACCGUGCCAACACCACAAACAGAAGCAGUUGAACCGUUGCCCAUCAGCACGGUUGAAGUCCCUGCGGUCUGAUAAGACGAAAACAUAUGGAAAUAUCAUCGCAUACAUGCACAUUAGCACCCGUGUCAAUCAACCAGUCAGGAGAAUGACAUACUGAAAGAAUCGUGGGAAAUAUACCAUACCCAGCAUCCUUCAUGUCAGUGUCUCCAAUGACAACAUUAGCGGUCUUGCCGCCUUUCCUAGGAUGACGCUUGUCAUAGCGAUUAGGGCAACUAGGAGCCCAAUGAUCAGGAUCUCCACACAGAUGACAAGCACCUUUCUUCUUGCCAUUCUUCUUUUUGAAGUUCGUGUGUUGCACAGCCUUGUUUUUCCCAUCAAACUUUGCUUUACCAUCAAACUUGCCCUUGUUCUUGAACUUGUGGGGCUGGAAGUUCUGUUUCUGUACCACAUUGGCACUAGAUCCUCCCUCAAUACCUCGAGCACGUGUGUCCUUUGCUCUCUCCUUUUCUUCCACAUCAAGAGUACCAAUGAGAUCCGAAACGGAAAACUCCUGUCUCUUAUGUUUCAGUAAGGUAGCAAAGUUCCUGCAUGAAGGAGGAAGCUUAGUGAUGAUACCGCUGGCAACAAACUUGUCCGGUAGCAUGCAAUUGAAGUGCUCAAGUUCUCUAGCAAAUGACUGUAUCUCAUGAGCUUGCUCAACCACGGAGCGCUAUUCAGUCAUCCUGUAAUCAUAGAAUUGCUCCAUGAUGUACAGCUCAGUGCCGGCAUCCGAGACCCCAAACUUGGCCUCGAGUGCGUCCCACAUAUCUUUUCCAUUAUCAAUUGCCGCAUAAGCAUCAACUAUGUUCUCUCCAAGAACACUCAAGAGCGCAGCCUUAAACAAGGUAUCCAUUUCCUGAAAAGCUUGUGCCUGUUGGGCAUCUUGCUCUCCUUCAGGUUUGCCAAGAGUGGCGUCAUAGCAACUCAUGGUUUGAAACCAUAAGACUGCUCUCACGCGCCACCUCUUAUAGUGGAUACCCUCAAACAUAGGAUGUCUCAUGGAAGCAGCAAAACCACUUGGGGUAAAUUGCCUAUAAUAAGGUUUUUGGAUUGUUGGAAAUAUGAGCAAUUUACCGAAUGAUUUUAUUAACAGAAAUAAUAGAUAAAACAUGACUAAAAUAGCAAACAUAAAGCAAGUCAUGCAAUCUGACAGAGAGAAGGUAAACAUCGUCUGCAUAUAUGAACUUGAGGUAAACACAUCUAGAACAGUCACUAGAUGAAGUUGGUUAUACGACAUAGAACCUAACAUACGUAGGACAGAAACUAGAGCCAAGAACUGUAGUAGGACUUCUAACAGAAAGGAGAAGAACACGUACGGCACAGCAGCAGCAGAAGCGCUGGACUUGGGGUCGGUGUCCUCGCCUGCCAUGUCGUCGAGGAGGUCGGGGAAGAAGUCGUCGGCGACCAGAUCGUCCGUGAUGAAUCAGCCAGUAGUCGCGCAGAGCGCUCCCCAAAAACCUUAUCAUCCUUCUCCCGUACAGGACUCAAAGAGUGCGGAGGAACGACCUCCCUUUUAAUCAAGGGAGAUGAAACGAACAGACAGCAGCCGAAGAGUGCAGCGUUCGCAUUUAAUCUCCUGCAACCCGCGGCGCGGCGCGGCGCGGCGGACGGCGGAGGAGGAGCGCGCGUGGAUGUCCCUCUUGUUUUCAUGCUCAUACAAGUGGGAAAAGAACCCCCCUUAUAAGGAGGUACAACUCCCACUAAACUAGCAAUGUGGGACUAAACUUUUAGUAGUAUCCCUUGCCUUACAUAAAUGGGCUAAGUGGGCCUCUAGAAUUUAUUAGGAUUUCCGAAAUAGUUAUUGGGCUGCCCAAAAUAGACUAAAUUCCAGCAGAGGAUGCCUUGAACCAGAUUGACCAGAAGAAGGAGGAACUGUACAAUCUCAUCUCCGGCGUCAGAGACGACCUACGGCGUCCACGGGAGGAGAGGCCGGCUAAACAACUUUUUGCUUGAUGAACUCGCCGUGCAAGUCAAGCCAAGACCCAACGAUGUCCUUUGGUAUGCAUACACAUCCGGAUUAUCCCUGAUGUUCUUUCUUUUUUUUAAAAAAGGAGGAUGACCCCCGGCCUCUGCAUCUGGGCGAUGCAUACGGCCAUUUUAUUAAUUAUUCUCACAAGACCUUACAAAGUAAUACAAUAGUAAGACUAAAGCCGCCGUCUAAGCCACUCUAUCCAGUUGAUGAAGGGGCGCAGAUAGCCUGAGCCUAAUACCAAGCAGGCAUCGCAGCCAAACCUAACAUCUAAGACCUGAGAUCCCAUCCAGGACGCCUGCCGGGCAUGGGUCUCACCCGUCCGGCGUGCACUCAGAGGCCACCGCCACCAACUUCCACCGCUCCAUCUUCAGAACUGUACUAAUGCAUCAACCUUGCUCGGUCCAGCUAUCGUCAACGCCACCACGACGCCCAACGGCACCUCUUCCCACCGCGCAAACAUCUGAGGACGUCGCGGUCGCCACUGAUACACCUCAGCACCAUGCUGCCAAGUAUCACCAGCCGACACAGCUUGAAGUACCCUCAUGUUCUUCUUAUUAUGCUGAUGCUGAUGCUGAUGAUCUUCAUACAAGUAACAUUAUAAGCGUGUUAUGGUUUUUCUCAUUUGUUGUUCUUGUGCUGAUCACGUAUGUGCGUGCGUGCAGGCACAAAAGCCGAAGAGCUCAAAGAUUGGAUCGUCUUAGGUGCCAUGUGGGGGGAUGCACUAUUAGCGCUGCUUUCGCGUAUGGCCUGUGUCGGUUGGCGGACGAGAUCAAUCCGGAGAUCAGCCACAAGGCUGCUGCUUGGCUGAGGAAAAACGUAUGGCACACAGAGUAACAUCCACUAGCUUAUCUGCACUAGCUAUGUUCAAUCGAGUCCCUUGUAUGAAGCAAAACACUAUAGUAACAUCCACUAGUUCUUCAGCACUAGCUAUGUUCAAAGUCAUUGUAUGAAGCAAAACGCCACAAAGUAACAUCCACUAGAUCUUCACCAUCUUCUUGCAUGAAGCAUACUUUUUUAUGACCAUCUUUGUUCUGAUGAGCUUAUCUCUUCUAACUUUAUGUGAAAAAAAGAGUGCAUGAUG
This 11665-nucleotide long non-coding RNA is filed under the name Triticum aestivum (bread wheat). RNAcentral describes it as "long non-coding RNA (TAES_LNC012233)". Lineage: Eukaryota; Viridiplantae; Streptophyta; Magnoliopsida; Poales; Poaceae. The record is from RNAcentral.